RNAcentral lists this ribosomal RNA (301 nucleotides) under uncultured bacterium. RNAcentral describes it as "partial 16S ribosomal RNA". It matches the Rfam family "Bacterial small subunit ribosomal RNA", at positions 509 to 809 of the family's 1533-position model. The record is from RNAcentral.
CAGCCGCCACGGUAAUACGUAGGUGGCAAGCGUUGUCCGGAAUUAUUGGGCGUAAAGCGCGCGCAGGCGGCCUGUCCAGUCUGUCUUAAAAGUUCGGGGCUCAACCCCGUGAUGGGAUGGAAACUAGUAGGCUAGAGUAUCGGAGAGGAAAGCGGAAUUCCUAGUGUAGCGGUGAAAUGCGUAGAUAUUAGGAAGAACACCAGUGGCGAAGGCGGCUUUCUGGACGAAAACUGACGCUGAGGCGCGAAAGCCAGGGGAGCGAACGGGAUUAGAUACCCCUGUAGUCCCUGUCUCUUAUACA